CAGGUUUUAUGUUUAUGAAAUUAUCAAAUGUAUAUCUGUAUGUAUGAGUCCUUGUACUGUAAAUUUCUUAACUUUAACCUUUUCAUUUUACUUGGUUUUUAUUCUAUCAUCAAUGGUACAUUUUGUCAGAUUUUUCACUACCCAUGCAGGUUGUUGCCUGAUUUUUGCAUACAGAAUUUUUAAAACAUGAGAUUAUUUGAAAAUUGGUUUAUAAAUUCAGCUCAUUGUAAACUAGGGGAGGGGGCAUGUGUGAGAAUGAAUAGUUCAUUCUUUGAACAAAACAUUAUUAUCUUCCAGAAUGUUGUAACAUUAGAUGAAGAUAUGUCUGAGAUGAUGAAAACAAAAUGAAUUGUCAUUGUGUGUAAAAUUUCUAUUCCAUAACAAAAAGUUUGUAAAAUGUUUUUAUGUUAGUAAAGUAAAAUCAGAAAAAUUGUGUCUUAAUACAAGUAAGGGUAUGGAAGAUAAUUCUGUUGGAGGAGUCUUUUCUCAGGGUCUAGUACUUAAAUAGUAUGUUAAUGUGUCAUUCAUAAAAACCCUG
This 538-nucleotide long non-coding RNA is filed under the name Mytilus galloprovincialis (Mediterranean mussel). The record is from RNAcentral. Lineage: Eukaryota; Metazoa; Mollusca; Bivalvia; Mytilida; Mytilidae.